GCCGGGCAUGGUGGCGCAUGCCUGUAGUCCCAGCUACUCGGGAGGCUGAGGCAGAAGGAUUGCUUGAGCCCAGGAGUUUGAGGUUGCUGUGAGCUAGGCUGAUGCCAUGGCACUCACUCUAGCCUGGGCAACAAAGUGAGACUCUGUCUAAAAAAAAAAAAAACAAGAACUAAAGGGAGUCCAAAAGUAAGAGUGAGCACAAGCAUACUUUCUCAUUAACUUGAGCCAGGAGUUCAAGACUAACCUGGGCAAUAUAGUGAGACCCUGUCUCU
Molecule: small RNA, 272 nt
Filed under: Microcebus murinus (gray mouse lemur)
Lineage: Eukaryota; Metazoa; Chordata; Mammalia; Primates; Cheirogaleidae
Description: Metazoan signal recognition particle RNA (ENSMICG00000045270.1)
Rfam family: Metazoan signal recognition particle RNA (bases 1-152)
About the family: The signal recognition particle (SRP) is a universally conserved ribonucleoprotein. It is involved in the co-translational targeting of proteins to membranes. The eukaryotic SRP consists of a 300-nucleotide 7S RNA and six proteins: SRPs 72, 68, 54, 19, 14, and 9.
Source: RNAcentral